CUAAUUAAGGCACAAACCCGGUAGGAAUUCUGAGCGUCACAUCCUGUUCUAUUUUUCACCACUCGGUACCCCAGAGCACGUAGGCCUCAAGGCGUGAUUGGAAGCGUCUGCCUUCCAAGGAGUGACCAUAAAGAGGCAUUUUCUGAAUCUAUUCUUAGCGCUCUUAUCUCCUCAGAUGUCGGAGCCAGACCAAGCAGGGCAUGGAAAUCAGAGUAGACACUGAAGAGAAGAAACCAAGGGGCCUGAAAUCCCAAGUGACUGAGCUGCUAUUUCGAAGGAUCUUUCUUUUCUGCCCUUUCUCAGUUGAUUACUUGGUAUCCAUCGGCAUCGGCAUGCAACUGGAGACCUCAUGCAGAGAUGUUUUCAUUUCAACGGACUGAGCUUGCAGGCUAAGGUUUGUGGGCUUACAGGAUGUUUAAAGGCUCCCUUUCAACAUCACUGAUAAGAGAUCAUCAUUUCUGAAGUAGUUCCAUGCUGUACUGGUGUCUCUUUGGAGAUCCACCUUUGCAACAGCAGAAUGGCACAAAAUGAGCCGUGCCACGGAAAGAACCAGCAAUUUUUCUGCACUCUACAGUGUAACCAAGAAUGUGGGAAAUAAAGUGCUGAUAUAUUGACUCAUUUAAAUUUCACCACAAUUCUCCGGCCAUGACAGAGACCCUCAACUGUGACCAGCCAAGUCACCAACUUUCUAAAUAAGCCUGGAACUGAACAUUCACUGGGUGGCCUAGGAUGUAAGCAAAUGAAGUACAUUGGCCAUCUGCAA
This is a long non-coding RNA of Panthera uncia (snow leopard), 763 nucleotides long. RefSeq lists it as uncharacterized. The transcript has 5 exons. Lineage: Eukaryota; Metazoa; Chordata; Mammalia; Carnivora; Felidae. The record is from RefSeq and is a predicted model, not a curated record.